Molecule: transfer RNA, 62 nt
Filed under: Siphluriscus chinensis
Lineage: Eukaryota; Metazoa; Arthropoda; Insecta; Ephemeroptera; Siphlonuridae
Also listed under: 1 other name
Description: tRNA-Cys
Source: RNAcentral
GGUCUUAUAUUUUAAGAAGAAUAUCAGAUUGCAAGUCUGACAGUGUAUAAUUACUAAGACUU